AGAGUUUGAUCAGGGCUCAGGAUGAACGCUGGCGGUAUGCCUAACACAUGCAAGUCGUACGAGAGUUUUUAACUCUAGUGGCGGACGGGUGAGUAACACGUAAGAAUUUACCUUCAGGAGGGGGAUAACAAUUGGAAACAAAUGCUAAUACCCCAUAUGCUUUCGAGUGAAAUGGAUUUAUAUUUAUCCGCCUAAAGAGAAGCUUGCGUCUGAUUAGCUUGUUGGUAAGGUAAAAGCUUACCAAGGCGACGAUCAGUAUCUGGUUUGAGAGGACGAUCAGACACACUGGAACUNACACNCGGUCCAGACUCCUACGGGAGGCAGCAGUGGGGAAUUUUCCGCAAUGGGCGAAAGCCUGAGCGGAGCANAUACCGCGUGAGGGAAGACUGCCUAUGGGUUGUAAACCUCUUUUUUCAGGGAGGAACAAAAUGACGUGUACCUGAAGAAUAAGC
Molecule: ribosomal RNA, 452 nt
Filed under: uncultured bacterium
Lineage: Bacteria
Description: bacterial SSU rRNA
Rfam family: Bacterial small subunit ribosomal RNA
Source: RNAcentral